RNAcentral lists this ribosomal RNA (875 nucleotides) under uncultured beta proteobacterium. RNAcentral describes it as "bacterial SSU rRNA". It matches the Rfam family "Bacterial small subunit ribosomal RNA", at positions 11 to 882 of the family's 1533-position model. The record is from RNAcentral. Lineage: Bacteria; Pseudomonadati; Pseudomonadota; Betaproteobacteria.
GUUUGAUCCUGGCUCAGAUUGAACGCUGGCGGCAUGCCUUACACAUGCAAGUCGAACGGCAGCACGGGAGCAAUCCUGGUGGCGAGUGGCGAACGGGUGAGUAAUACAUCGGAACGUGCCCAGUAGUGGGGGAUAACCCGGCGAAAGCCGGACUAAUACCGCAUACGACCUACGGGUGAAAGCAGGGGAUCGCAAGACCUUGCGUUAUUGGAGCGGCCGAUGUCAGAUUAGCUUGUUGGCGGGGUAAAAGCCCACCAAGGCGACGAUCUGUAGCUGGUCUGAGAGGACGACCAGCCACACUGGGACUGAGACACGGCCCAGACUCCUACGGGAGGCAGCAGUGGGGAAUUUUGGACAAUGGGCGCAAGCCUGAUCCAGCCAUGCCGCGUGCGGGAAGAAGGCCUUCGGGUUGUAAACCGCUUUUGUCAGGGAAGAAACGCUCCGGAUUAAUACCUCGGAGUAAUGACGGUACCUGAAGAAUAAGCACCGGCUAACUACGUGCCAGCAGCCGCGGUAAUACGUAGGGUGCAAGCGUUAAUCGGAAUUACUGGGCGUAAAGCGUGCGCAGGCGGCUUUGCAAGACAGAUGUGAAAUCCCCGGGCUUAACCUGGGAACUGCAUUUGUGACUGCAUGGCUAGAGUGCGGCAGAGGGGGAUGGAAUUCCGCGUGUAGCAGUGAAAUGCGUAGAUAUGCGGAGGAACACCGAUGGCGAAGGCAAUCCCCUGGGCCUGCACUGACGCUCAUGCACGAAAGCAUGGGGAGCAAACAGGAUUAGAUACCCUGGUAGUCCACGCCCUAAACGAUGUCAACUGGUUGUUGGACGGCUUGCUGUUCAGUAACGAAGCUAACGCGUGAAGUUGACCGCCUGGGGAGUA